AGUGAACGCUGGCGGUAGGCCUAACACAUGCAAGUCGAACGGCAGCACAGUAAGAGCUUGCUCUUACGGGUGGCGAGUGGCGGACGGGUGAGGAAUACAUCGGAAUCUACUUUUUCGUGGGGAUAACGUAGGGAAACUUACGCUAAUACCGCAUACGACCUACGGGUGAAAGCAGGGGAUCUUCGGACCUUGCGCGAUUGAAUGAGCCGAUGUCGGAUUAGCUAGUUGGCGGGGUAAAGGCCCACCAAGGCGACGAUCCGUAGCUGGUCUGAGAGGAUGAUCAGCCACACUGGAACUGAGACACGGUCCAGACUCCUACGGGAGGCAGCAGUGGGGAAUAUUGGACAAUGGGCGCAAGCCCGAUCCAGCCAUACCGCGUGGGUGAAGAAGGCCUUCGGGUUGUAAAGCCCUUUUGUUGGGAAAGAAAAGCAGCAGGUUAAUACCCCGCUGUUCUGACGGUACCCAAAGAAUAAGCACCGGCUAACUUCGUG
RNAcentral lists this ribosomal RNA (491 nucleotides) under uncultured bacterium. Its description in RNAcentral is "partial 16S ribosomal RNA". It matches the Rfam family "Bacterial small subunit ribosomal RNA", at positions 29 to 507 of the family's 1533-position model. The record is from RNAcentral.